RNAcentral lists this ribosomal RNA (301 nucleotides) under uncultured bacterium. RNAcentral describes it as "partial 16S ribosomal RNA". It matches the Rfam family "Bacterial small subunit ribosomal RNA", at positions 509 to 807 of the family's 1533-position model. The record is from RNAcentral.
CAGUAGCCGCGGUAAUACGGAGGGAGCUAGCGUUAUUCGGAAUUACUGGGCGUAAAGCGCACGUAGGCGGCUUUGUAAGUAAGAGGUGAAAGCCCGGAGCUCAACUCCGGAACUGCCUUUUAGACUGCAUCGCUUGAAUCCAGGAGAGGUGAGUGGAAUUCCGAGUGUAGAGGUGAAAUUCGUAGAUAUUCGGAAGAACACCAGUGGCGAAGGCGGCUCACUGGACUGGUAUUGACGCUGAGGUGCGAAAGCGUGGGGAGCAAACAGGAUUAGAUACCCGCGUAGUCCCUGUCUCUUAUAC